UACAGAAUUGUUGUUUUUUUUCCACAGCCUGCCAGUUUCACAGCAAAUUGGAAAUUUUUCCAGUACAAUAUGUGUCCAAGACACGUGAAAACAAGGGCUGUAAAGAAGUACUGGUUCAUUGGCACCCUUGCCCAUCAUGCCAAAAGACCUGGCCCCCAUCUUGGGAACCACAGGGGAACAUACAAAUGACAGUGUCAGGUUGAUGCCAACUUUCCUACCACCUAAAAUGAGAUUAAGAGAAAUAGUGUUAAUACUAAUUAUCUCCAUUAAAGCUAUACAUGACUGAAUAAAAUGGAUUUUCUGUCGACAACAAAACACAUGAUUGUAGCGUUCUGAUUGGCAGGUUCAGCCUUUUCAUUUCACAGUUCUGGUAAUCUGAGUUAUAAAUAUGGAAUUGGGAGUUUAUAUAACAGUAUAAUUAAAAAGACUGUCAAUAAAGUCAUAAUUGUGAGAACUAUAUAAAGAAAGUCUGCUAAAAGUUCAGUUGUCACCUUGGUGGUUCAAAUAAAAAAUGUUAUUUUUCCCAUGGAACUGUGUUGUGUGGACAAAAAUAAAAGUUGAAUGGAUUGAAA
This is a non-coding RNA of Danio rerio (zebrafish), 572 nucleotides long. The record is from RefSeq and is a predicted model, not a curated record. Lineage: Eukaryota; Metazoa; Chordata; Actinopteri; Cypriniformes; Danionidae.